GUCCACGCCGUAACGGUGGGCACUAGGUGUGGGGACAUUCCACGUUCUCCGUGCCGAAGCUAACGCAUUAAGUGCCCCGCCUGGGGAGUACGGCCGCAAGGCUAAACUCAAAGGAAUUGACGGGCCCGCACAAGCGGCGGAGCAUGUUCAUUAAUUCGAUGCAACGCGAAGAACCUUACCUAGGUUUGACAUAUACCGGAAACACCUGGAGACAGGUGCCCCGCAAGGUCGGUAUACAGGUGGUGCAUGGCUGUCGU
Molecule: ribosomal RNA, 257 nt
Filed under: uncultured bacterium
Lineage: Bacteria
Description: partial 16S ribosomal RNA
Rfam family: Bacterial small subunit ribosomal RNA
Source: RNAcentral